Molecule: long non-coding RNA, 505 nt
Organism: Columba livia (rock pigeon)
Lineage: Eukaryota; Metazoa; Chordata; Aves; Columbiformes; Columbidae
Exons: 3
Source: RefSeq, a predicted model, not a curated record
CAUCCUCAGGGCUGGGUCCCCCUGGCUGGGCCGGUGCGGGGAUGAGGAGGGUGGGCUUGAGGAAGAUGGUGUCCGAGGUGUAGAGGCGGUUGGCGCGCUUGAUCUGCUCCAUCUGCCGGGGAUGGGGACAGAGGUGGCACAGGGACAGGAUAGGGGUGGGGACAGGGAUGGGGACAGAGGUGGCACAGGGACAGGAUAGGGGUGGGACAGAGAUGGGGACAGAGGUGGCACAGACAGGAUAGGGGUGGGGACAGGGAUGGGGACAGAGGCGGCACAGGGACAGGAUAGGGUUGGGGACAGGGAAUGGGAUGAGGACAGAGAUAAGGACAGGAUGGGGACGGCGAUGGGAUGGGGACAGUCACAGAGACAGGAUGGGGACGGGCCAGGAGGGGCCAAGGACAGCGGUGGCCCCGUGGGGACCCCGGGCUCGUCCUGUCCCCGCAGCCCCGCGGAUCCCGCCCCCCCCGGGUGUCCCCCCGCGUCACCCCCGCGGCCUCUCACCGUC